GUGCUAUCUUCAGCAGCACACAUACUAAAAUUGGAGUGAUACAGAGAAAAUUAGCAUGGCCCCUGCAUAAGUAUGACAUGCAAGUUCGUGAAGCAUUCCACAUUUUU
Small nuclear RNA from Erinaceus europaeus (western European hedgehog), 107 nucleotides. The record is from Ensembl. Lineage: Eukaryota; Metazoa; Chordata; Mammalia; Eulipotyphla; Erinaceidae.